ACACAAGGUAGAGAGAGAGAGCGUGUGAGAGGAAAGGUCGCGCGCCAAGUUUACCAUGAAACUUUUCUGCUUUUUCGGUGAACUUGAACAUUUCCCGGAUCAACUCGGCGAGGCGGCAAGAUGGAGGUCACAGAGGUGACGGGGGGCGUCCCGUCAUCACCAGCGAACCAAUCAGGCGCCAGCAACUCCUCACUGCCGCCUGAUUGGUCAGCUCCAUCUUCAGAGUACAACGAGGCCGAGCUGGUCCUGCUGGGCGCCGCCAUGUCCGUUCUGGUUGUGGCCAUCGUCUCUGGUAACGUGCUGGUGAUCAGCGCCAUCUUGCGCUCCCGGCGGCUGCAGACGGUCACCAACCUUUUCAUCACCUCGCUGGCGGUGGCCGACCUCAUCAUGGGCGUGGCCGUGGUUCCGUUCGGGUCCAUCUACAUCCUGCUGGGGUCCUGGCAUUUCGGGAACUUCCUGUGCGAGUUCUGGACGGCCACAGACGUGCUGUGCGUGACGGCCAGCAUCGAGACGCUGUGCGUGAUCGCCUUGGACCGCUACCUCGCCAUCACCUCGCCCCUGCGCUACCCCACGCUGCUCAACAGGCGCCGGGCCUUGGCGGCCAUUGUGGGCGUGUGGGCGGUGGCCUCGCUCAUCUCCUUCCUGCCCAUCCAUCUGAAGCUGUGGCUGUCACACGACGCGGAGGCUCUGCGCUGUCUGGCCAACGAGCGAUGCUGCGACUUCAACACCAACGCGGCGUACGCCGUGUCCUCCUCGCUGGUCUCCUUCUACCUGCCGCUGGCGCUCAUGAUCUUCCUCUACUGGCGCGUCUUCCGGGAGGCCCGGAAGCAGCUGGAGAAGAUCCGAGGGCGCGAGCGGCGACUCCUCCAGCUGCGUCUCGGACCGACCGCGGCGGAGGACGGGACCGACCCGGAGGAGUCGACGGGGGCGCCGGAGGACGAGGAGCGAGCGCGGACUGAGAAGGAGGACUGCGGCUCCAAGCGGGUGAAACUGAGCCUGAGGGAGCACAAGGCGGUGAGGACUCUGGGAAUCAUCAUGGGAACUUUCACCCUCUGCUGGCUUCCCUUCUUCAUCCUCAACAUCCUCAUCCGCUUCCUCCGCCUGGGAGACAUCAAGCUGCUCUUCAGGCUCCUCAACUGGUUGGGGUACUCCAACUCCGCCUUCAACCCGCUCAUCUACUGCCACAGCCCCGACUUCAGACACGCCUACCAGGAGAUCCUCUGCAUGCGGGGCAGACCGCGCCGGAAGGGGCGGGGCACGGGGCGGAGACGCGCGAACGCGGGCGGCGAGGUCAGACCCCACGGUCGGCUGACCCAGACGUCCUCCGCAGGGGACGUUCUGGAAGUGUCCCCGGCUGACAGUUCCAACAGCGAGAGCGGGGAUGAAACAUUGUUUACUCCGCAGGCUUGACUUUGGGGCAGACUACUUCCUGGUGCGUAAUCAUUCAGACGGUACUUCUUAUUUUAAUACUUUGGAACGAUGGGCAUUUCUGGGUGUUGUUGAUAAAUGGCUUUUGUCAGGUUCAAACCCUGAUGACAUCUAUUAAACAAGACAAGAGGCAAAGAAUUAAACAGAGACAGAAUUCAAUAUGGACUGAAUAUAUUGAGGAGUCGCCCGGACAUUGUAUCCUUCUACAAUCUCCACCACGCUCUGCCAAAAGAUUGCAUGCCUCCUUCCUUCCUUUUGGACCCUCCCCGACCACAUGGCCACCGCUGUUUCCAAAGGACAAAGUUCACAGAAAAGGUCUUUAACAAUUCACAGGAAAGAUGUCGUAAUUAGGUGACUUUACCAAGACGAGGGACUGGAAUGUUCCACAUGUACGUGGCGCAAAAAGCUGGCGUGAAGAGCUACAGCCUAAUAAUUACAGGCUUCAUGUGCACGUCGUGGAGCUCAACGUCUCCAACAAACGCCAUUGGUGGAUCUACAUCUAACAUCCACUGUAAUGAUACCAAGUACAGGCACGUAUCUAGUCGAUACUACUAUGAUUACGUCGAUACUUUUU
RNA transcript from Entelurus aequoreus (snake pipefish), 2002 nucleotides. It is a transcript of the gene named beta-2 adrenergic receptor-like, with no coding region annotated. Lineage: Eukaryota; Metazoa; Chordata; Actinopteri; Syngnathiformes; Syngnathidae. The transcript is spliced from 6 exons. The record is from RefSeq and is a predicted model, not a curated record.